ACGGGUGAGUAACACGUGGGCAAUCUGCCCUUCACUCUGGGACAAGCCCUGGAAACGGGGUCUAAUACCGGAUAUCACUUCCACUCGCAUGGGUGGGGGUUGAAAGCUCCGGCGGUGAAGGAUGAGCCCGCGGCCUAUCAGCUUGUUGGUGAGGUAACGGCUCACCAAGGCGACGACGGGUAGCCGGCCUGAGAGGGCGACCGGCCACACUGGGACUGAGACACGGCCCAGACUCCUACGGGAGGCAGCAGUGGGGAAUAUUGCACAAUGGGCGAAAGCCUGAUGCAGCGACGCCGCGUGAGGGAUGACGGCCUUCGGGUUGUAAACCUCUUUCAGCAGGGAAGAAGCGAAAGUGACGGUACCUGCAGAAGAAGCGCCGGCUAACUACGUGCCAGCAGCCGCGGUAAUACGUAGGGCGUAAGCGUUGUCCGGAAUUAUUGGGCGUAAAGAGCUCGUAGGCGGUCUGUCGCGUCGGAUGUGAAAGCCCGGGGCUUAACCCCGGGUCUGCAUUCGAUACGGGCAGACUAGAGUGUGGUAGGGGAGAUCGGAAUUCCUGGUGCAGCGGUGAAAUGCGCAGA
Molecule: ribosomal RNA, 578 nt
Filed under: uncultured bacterium
Lineage: Bacteria
Description: bacterial SSU rRNA
Rfam family: Bacterial small subunit ribosomal RNA
Source: RNAcentral